GGCGAGUGGCGAACGGGUGAGUAAUACAUCGGAACGUGUCCUGGAGUGGGGGAUAGCCCGGCGAAAGCCGGAUUAAUACCGCAUACGCUCUGUGGAGGAAAGCGGGGGAUCUUUCGGGACCUCGCGCUCAAGGGGCGGCCGAUGGCAGAUUAGGUAGUUGGUGGGGUAAAGGCCUACCAAGCCGACGAUCUGUAGCUGGUCUGAGAGGACGACCAGCCACACUGGGACUGAGACACGGCCCAGACUCCUACGGGAGGCAGCAGUGGGGAAUUUUGGACAAUGGGCGCAAGCCUGAUCCAGCAAUGCCGCGUGUGUGAAGAAGGCCUUCGGGUUGUAAAGCACUUUUGUCCGGAAAGAAAACCUCUGGGUUAAUACCCUGGGGGGAUGACGGUACCGGAAGAAUAAGCACCGGCUAACUACGUGCCAGCAGCCGCGGUAAUACGUAGGGUGCGAGCGUUAAUCGGAAUUACUGGGCGUAAAGCGUGCGCAGGCGGUGAUGUAAGACCGAUGUGAAAUCCCCGGGCUUAACCUGGGAACUGCAUUGGUGACUGCAUCGCUCGAGUAUGGCAGAGGGGGGUAGAAUCCACGUGUAGCAGUGAAAUGCGUAGAGAUGUGGAGGAAUACCGAUGGCGAAGGCAGCCCCCUGGGUCAAUACUGACGCUCAUGCA
RNAcentral lists this ribosomal RNA (668 nucleotides) under Burkholderia sp. Md204. RNAcentral's name for it is "bacterial SSU rRNA". It matches the Rfam family "Bacterial small subunit ribosomal RNA", at positions 90 to 753 of the family's 1533-position model. Lineage: Bacteria; Pseudomonadati; Pseudomonadota; Betaproteobacteria; Burkholderiales; Burkholderiaceae. The record is from RNAcentral. RNAcentral also lists the same sequence under 1 other name.